AUGGAUGAUGAGGCGCAGGAGACUCCAAAUGUUGGUGAUCUUCCCAAGAAGGCCCCCAAGGUGAUGAAUUGGACUCCACCCAUGUCUGCGUUGAUGUUGAAAGGCCUUUCAGAGGUGGCGGCAAGAGGUGCCAAGACUGAAAAAGGAUUCAAUGAGGUAAGUGUCUUCAGAGAACAAAUUCUCCAACUUGCUGGGAUUGCUUGUCAUGAAGAGGAGGGAAAAUCACGGACAGAGCUACUGGAGAAGCUCAAAACAUGUAACAAGGUUAUGCUAGUUGAACUGUGCCGUUCAUUUGAUGUCCCUGGUUCAACAAGCACUAAGAAGGAUGAAUUAGUGACAAUAGUGAUGGAGUUCUUGAUGGAACACUGUUCUGGUAUUAUUUACACAGAUCCUGAUAAGGCUCAACUUCUUAGCUGCCAGAAAUUUAAGAAAAGAAAGCGCAAGAAGAAUGGAGCGGAUCUAUCUGGUGGUGAACCUUCCAAGAAAAGGAAACCAGAUGGAACUCUACUGGAAUUUUGUAGUCAAGAGGAAGCAGAUGGGAGAAAAGCUGUAGAAGAUAGAACAAACCAUUCCGAGUUCAGCUUGAGGGAUAGCAGAGAUGAGCUGGUAAAUGACUCCGCGUUGGGGAAAUUAGCUGUAGUUCCACUGCCAGGAGUACCGUUUCCUACAGAUGAACAAACGCUAAUCACAACACCAUCUGCAAAGUUAUUUAGCAAUGUUGAGAAUGAUACCAUGGAUAUGGCGGCUUCAAUGAAGAAAAACAUUUCUGUUACCAAGAAAAAGGCAAUCCAAAACACAGAUUCCAAGGAGAAAUCUGGUGGUAAAACUAUGUCUAGAGGAGAUGCGAAACCAUGGAAGCAGGCACCGAAACCAAGUAAGGAUGAGCUGAGACAGGCUGUCUCCUGUAUAUUGGGUGCUGCAAAUUUUGCCACGAUGACUUUUGGAGAGGUUGUAAAAGCAGUUGACAAAUACUUUGGCAAGGAUUUGUUUGAGAGGAAGCCGCUGGUAAGGGCCUUGAUAGAGGAGGAGCUGUUUAGGCUAGCCAAGGAGGCUGAGAGGAAGGAAGUGGAAGAGGAGGAAGCAAUGGAAGCAAAAGUAAAAGCUGCCAAGGACAGCGCAAGGGAUGGAAGAGUUGAAUCAGACAUAGACAAGGAGGAAUAUGAAGUUGAAGCUGGUCCAGAUGGUAAAUCUAAGGAUGCUGAAAAGAUUGGCAACAGCAAGAGUAGUGAUAAAGGUGGUAAAAGUGGGAUUUGUGUGAAGGCUGGCGAGAAGGGAAAUAGCAACGCUGCUGCCGCUGAAAAUUUACAAGAUGGAAAGUCCGAAGUUGACGACACAAGGAAGAAAGAAUUUAGCAAGGAUUGCGAGGCUGAAAAGAUUGUGCAGAAUGCAAAUGGCGAUGGUGGCAUGGAAAUGUUGAGGGAUGGUGAAGCUGAAACUGGGAAUAAUUGCAACGGUAACACCAUAGGAGGUUCUGGAGAAAAAGAUGACACUACAGAUGGCAGAUGUGAAGAAGGCAGGGCUGAAAAAGAUGCAGAAAAUGCUGGUGACUGUGAACCUGAAGAAUCUGAAACUAAUGAACCAGAAGCAGAAGUAAAAGAUGUGAAAUCUAAGGAAGCCAGUGGCAAUGAGAUUACCCUAUCCCAUGGUGCUAACUAA
This 1656-nucleotide ribosomal RNA is filed under the name Triticum aestivum (bread wheat). RNAcentral's name for it is "partial small subunit ribosomal RNA". The record is from RNAcentral. Lineage: Eukaryota; Viridiplantae; Streptophyta; Magnoliopsida; Poales; Poaceae.